This 300-nucleotide unclassified non-coding RNA is filed under the name uncultured Hyaloscyphaceae. RNAcentral's name for it is "sequence contains 5.8S rRNA gene, ITS2". The stretch from base 1 to 90 matches the Rfam family "5.8S ribosomal RNA", at positions 58 to 154 of the family's 154-position model. Lineage: Eukaryota; Fungi; Ascomycota; Leotiomycetes; Helotiales. The record is from RNAcentral.
AAAUGGGUAUAAGAGACAGGUGAGUCAUCGAAUCUUUGAACGCACAUUGCGCCCCUUGGUAUUCCGAGGGGCAUGCCUGUUCGAGCGUCAUUACAACCCUCAAGCCUAGCUUGGUCUUGGGCUUCGCCACUUACCUGGCGGGCCUUAAAAUCAGUGGCGGUGCCGUCGAGGCCCUGAGCGCAGUAAACAUCCUCGCUAUAGGGACCCGGCGGUCGCUGGCCAUUAACCCCCAACUUUCUAAGUUUGACCUCGGAUCAGGUAGGGAUACCCGCUGAACUUAAGCAUAUCAAUAAGCGGAGG